This 97-nucleotide transfer RNA is filed under the name bacterium. RNAcentral's name for it is "tRNA-Ser". It matches the Rfam family "tRNA". From Rfam's summary of the family: Transfer RNA (tRNA) molecules are approximately 80 nucleotides in length. Their secondary structure includes four short double-helical elements and three loops (D, anti-codon, and T loops). Further hydrogen bonds mediate the characteristic L-shaped molecular structure. tRNAs have two regions of fundamental functional importance: the anti-codon, which is responsible for specific mRNA codon recognition, and the 3' end, to which the tRNAs corresponding amino acid is attached (by aminoacyl-tRNA synthetases). tRNAs cope with the degeneracy of the genetic code in two manners: having more than one tRNA (with a specific anti-codon) for a particular amino acid; and 'wobble' base-pairing, i.e. permitting non-standard base-pairing at the 3rd anti-codon position. RNAcentral also lists the same sequence under 2 other names. The record is from RNAcentral.
GGAGAGGUGGCCGAGUAGGUCUAAGGCGGUCGCCUGCUAAGCGAUUGGAUGUGUUUCAAAGCACAUCCCGUGGGUUCGAAUCCCACCCUCUCCGCCA